GCCUGGAUGCCAGUCUGUUUCUGCUAAUAGUUAGCAUAUUCCUAGCCUGUAUGCCACUCUGUUUCUGCUAAUAGUUAGCAUAUCCCUAGCCUGGAUGCCAGUCUGUUUCUACUAAUAGUUAACAUAUCCCUAGCCUGGAUGCCAGUCUGUUUCUGCUAAUAGUUAGCAUAUCCCUAGCCUAGAUGCUAGUCUGUUUCUGCUAAUAGUUAACAUAUCCCUAGCCUGGAUGCUAGUGUUUCUGAUUUAGCCCACUCCUCUGUCAUUGUCAUGUUUGAAUAUAGGGCUAUAGAGCUGGCUUAAGCAGAACCAGAUUUGCAUUACUAUUGCCCUCUUUUCCCUCCCCUCUUCUAUGUAUUAGUGUGGCGGUAAUGUCUGACUACAUAAAGCAGACAAAGUGAACAAUCUGGAGUGCUCAGUUUAUGAUAUUGGGUGCCGUAGCCCAGAAGUAGCCAAAAAUCCAUGACGUAGACUGGCUUAGUACCCAUAAUCCUGUAAUAUCUCUCUCACUCUCAUUUUGCACCUUGAUGUGUUUGAUACCAUUCCACUGAUUCCGCUCCUGCCGUUACCAAGAGACAGUCCUACCCAAUUAAGGUGGCACCAACCUCCUGUGCUGGGGUCACUUCUAAGGGCCUGGAUUAGUGAUAGAGGCCGGAUCCAGUUGUGAUUAAAUCUUUAGUGUUGGGGACCGAGGACGUGGAUGUGAUCUCCAUGUAGACCAUCUCUUUCAGUUCCACCUGGAACCACAGAGAAGAUGAUGUUGUCCUAUGACACUGAUCUAAGGUCAGUUUGUUAGUUUUACUCCCUUCCACCAACCCAAAGGGUCAAGAUUUGGGUAAGGUAAGCUGAUUCUAGAACUGUGACAUAACCAAUUAGCCUGUACAUUGGCUAGAUCCUCUUUAGGAUAAAUUGACAUUAUUCAUUAGUUAACUCAAUAUAGCUCUAUAUAUAAUGUUGGGAAAGUACAUCAUUUUAAAUUUGAGUCAUUUCACAGAUGUUCUUAUCCAGAGUGACUUACAGGAGCAAUUAUGGUUAGGUGUGUCACGUUCUGACCUUUAUUUCCUUUGUUUUGUAUUUACUUAGUAUGGUCAGGGUGUGAGUUGGGUGGGCAGUCUAUGUUUGAUUUUCUAUGA
Molecule: long non-coding RNA, 1130 nt
Organism: Oncorhynchus tshawytscha (Chinook salmon)
Lineage: Eukaryota; Metazoa; Chordata; Actinopteri; Salmoniformes; Salmonidae
Source: Ensembl